Molecule: long non-coding RNA, 854 nt
Organism: Camelus dromedarius (Arabian camel)
Lineage: Eukaryota; Metazoa; Chordata; Mammalia; Artiodactyla; Camelidae
Exons: 3
Source: RefSeq, a predicted model, not a curated record
GGGACUGCGAGGGCUGGGAGCGAGGAUUCCGGUUGUGGCAGAGGCGGCGAGGAGCCCCACGAGGCCGGAGGAGAGCCUAUCUAAUAGCGGUCCUGUAGCUUUCUAAAAGUAUUUGGAAAGAGGAUGCAUUACUUCAGUGGUAAAAUCAAAGACACAAGGAACUACCCAUCAGAACAACAUGAGACCACAAAGUGCUCAUAAUGAAUGGAUGAAUGGAGACUCCAGACCUUAAAAGGCCAAGGAAGAAUACAGCCUGGUCUUCCCCACUCAGCCUGAUCAGCAAAAAACUGGAAACAACUUGAAUGUAGGACGACAAGGAGGCGGAAGGGACAUCUGUUGCAUGAAAAUGAAUGCCUCCAAUAAAGCACAGGUGUUGAAUGCUGAGUGGCACAGAACUGUUUUGACUAUUGAAUGGUUGACUCAAAAUAGAGUGAACAAAAGAUAAUCACCAAAAACUUUAUCUGAUAUUGUUCUAUUUGUGGUAAAUCUAUGUAAGUAGAUAUGGAUAGAUCAGUGCUGUCCAAGAGAACUUUCUGUGAUGGGGGAAACGUUCUGAAUCUGUGCUGUCCAAUAUAGUAGCCACUAGCCAUUGGUAGGGAUGAAAUACUUAACAUAUCACUAGUCGACUGCAAAACUGAAUUUUUAAAAACAUCUAACUUUAGCUUUAAGCUAAAUAGUCACACGUGGCUAGUGGCUAUCACACUGGACAGCACCAAUAUAGAUACAUGAUAGACAGAGAGAGACAGACUGAAAAAAGAAAUGCCCACUAGUAGAAGUAAUUAUCUUUGUAUGUUGAAAUUACGGAUGAUUAUAAUUUUACUUUAUCUGCAAGUCACUGAUUCCUAAUUAUUCUA